AAACCGGAGGAAGUGGGGAUGACGUCAAGUCCUCAUGGCCCUUAUAGUGGGGCUACACACGUCAUACAAUGGCUGGUACAAAGGGUUGCCAACCGCAGGGGAGCCAAUCCCAUAAAGCCAGUCGUAGUCCGGAUCGUAGUCUGCAACUCGACUACGUGAAGUCGGAAUCGCUAGUAAUCGUGGAUCAGAAUGUCACGGUGAAUACGUUCCCGGGUCUU
RNAcentral lists this ribosomal RNA (218 nucleotides) under uncultured Rhodoferax sp. RNAcentral describes it as "partial 16S ribosomal RNA". It matches the Rfam family "Bacterial small subunit ribosomal RNA", at positions 1160 to 1382 of the family's 1533-position model. Lineage: Bacteria; Pseudomonadati; Pseudomonadota; Betaproteobacteria; Burkholderiales; Comamonadaceae. The record is from RNAcentral.